CAAGACAACUUUACGGAGUUGACGAUUGACGGAGCGAAGCGACGUCAAAGCGUUCAUUAAAGUCGAGUUGGCUUAGGGAUACGUUCGUUGGGUAGGGGAGCGUUCUGUAAGCCUGUGAAGGUGUGUCGUGAGGCAUGCUGGAGGUAUCAGAAGUGCGAAUGCUGACAUAAGUAACGAUAAAGCGGGUGAAAAGCCCGCUCGCCGGAAGACCAAGGGUUCCUGUCCAACGUUAAUCGGGGCAGGGUGAGUCGACCCCUAAGGCGAGGCCGAAAGGCGUAGUCGAUGGGAAACGGGUUAAUAUUCCCGUACUUGGUGUUACUGCGAAGGGGGGACGGAGAAGGCUAUGUUGGCCGGGCGACGGUUGUCCCGGUUUAAGCGUGUAGGUGUGUGUUCCAGGUAAAUCCGGUUCACUUUAACACUGAGGCGUGACGACGAGGCACUACGGUGCUGAAGCAACAAAUGCCCUGCUUCCAGGAAAAGCCUCUAAGCAUCAGGUAACAUCAAAUCGUACCCCAAACCGACACAGGUGGUCAGGUAGAGAAUACCAAGGCGCUUGAGAGAACUCGGGUGAAGGAACUAGGCAAAAUGGUGCCGUAACUUCGGGAGAAGGCACGCUGACACGUAGGUGAAGUGAUUUACUCAUGGAGCUGAAGUCAGUCGAAGAUACCAGCUGGCUGCAACUGUUUAUUAAAAACACAGCACUGUGCAAACACGAAAGUGGACGUAUACGGUGUGACGCCUGCCCGGUGCCGGAAGGUUAAUUGAUGGGGUCAGCGCAAGCGAAGCUCCUGAUCGAAGCCCCGGUAAACGGCGGCCGUAACUAUAACGGUCCUAAGGUAGCGAAAUUCCUUGUCGGGUAAGUUCCGACCUGCACGAAUGGCGUAAUGAUGGCCAGGCUGUCUCCACCCGAGACUCAGUGAAAUUGAACUCGCUGUGAAGAUGCAGUGUACCCGCGGCAAGACGGAAAGACCCCGUGAACCUUUACUAUAGCUUGACACUGAACAUUGAGCCUUGAUGUGUAGGAUAGGUGGGAGGCUUUGAAGUGUGGACGCCAGUCUGCAUGGAGCCGACCUUGAAAUACCACCCUUUAAUGUUUGAUGUUCUAACGUGGACCCGUAAUCCGGGUUGCGGACAGUGUCUGGUGGGUAGUUUGACUGGGGCGGUCUCCUCCUAAAGAGUAACGGAGGAGCACGAAGGUUGGCUAAUCCUGGUCGGACAUCAGGAGGUUAGUGCAAUGGCAUAAGCCAGCUUGACUGCGAGCGUGACGGCGCGAGCAGGUGCGAAAGCAGGUCAUAGUGAUCCGGUGGUUCUGAAUGGAAGGGCCAUCGCUCAACGGAUAAAAGGUACUCCGGGGAUAACAGGCUGAUACCGCCCAAGAGUUCAUAUCGACGGCGGUGUUUGGCACCUCGAUGUCGGCUCAUCACAUCCUGGGGCUGAAGUAGGUCCCAAGGGUAUGGCUGUUCGCCAUUUAAAGUGGUACGCGAGCUGGGUUUAGAACGUCGUGAGACAGUUCGGUCCCUAUCUGCCGUGGGCGCUGGAGAACUGAGGGGGGCUGCUCCUAGUACGAGAGGACCGGAGUGGACGCAUCACUGGUGUUCGGGUUGUCAUGCCAAUGGCACUGCCCGGUAGCUAAAUGCGGAAGAGAUAAGUGCUGAAAGCAUCUAAGCACGAAACUUGCCCCGA
This 1683-nucleotide ribosomal RNA is filed under the name Salmonella enterica. RNAcentral describes it as "partial 23S ribosomal RNA". It matches the Rfam family "Bacterial large subunit ribosomal RNA", at positions 1163 to 2802 of the family's 2925-position model. RNAcentral also lists the same sequence under 2 other names. The record is from RNAcentral. Lineage: Bacteria; Pseudomonadati; Pseudomonadota; Gammaproteobacteria; Enterobacterales; Enterobacteriaceae.